UUCAAACUUUGAACUCAACUACCGCCGCCGGUUACGUUUCAGUUUAGCUAGAACUCAUCAACCGAAUGGAUCUAUCGCGGAAAACGUGAAGAACAAUACAAUUAAGGUCACCGACAGCAGCUCGUUCGGAAGAAUAGUCGAACAACCUACUCAUAGUUUAGAGGCGCAACUUGUAAUCUCACAUUGUUUUGAAAUUUAAGCGGAACCAAGGCAUGAGGUGAUAUGUGCCGUAUUCUUAUCAAUGAUCACCAUAUGACGAAAGUGAAGUGAAACGACAAUUCCAACAACCCCGGUCGUCGGUAAUCGAAGACUUAUUUGUAUGUGCCUGCUUUUAGUGAACUGUGUAGAAGCGGAGAAGAAGUUGUAAUCUUCCUCGAGUGAAGUGUAAUGGUUCAGCACAUCUUACCGCCGUGGUGGUCAACGGUGGCAUUACAUACGGCCCCAGUAGAUUAGUGGUGUGCGUUCAGGAAGGACCUCUUUCAGUGUUGCUGCGUAAACGAACGCGGACGGACCGCGUGGUGAUCUCGACAUUUUCAAAUCGGUCUAUUCUACAAUCGACAAGUAGAAACUGCAGAGCACAAGCAUUCACGAUGCUGGGAAUCAAAUAUCUCAACGAAGCCCACCUGAAGGGCUUCGAACGGUACAAAUACAGCUGCGUCGACACCAGCAUACUCAGCGUCCAUGUGAUGCACCCAUUCUGGAACUGGCUGGUACAAUUCUGCCCCAGAUGGAUCGCCCCGAAUCUGCUCACAUUCUCCGGAUUCAUGCUCACGGUGAUCACUUUCUUCCUGAUAGGUUACUUCGACUUUGGAUUCACGGUUGCUACCAUAACUCCAAACCCAAUUCCCGGUUGGGUUUGGAUAGUGGCAGCAAUUAGCAUAUUUGUAGCAUAUACGUUAGAUGGUAUUGAUGGAAAGCAGGCCCGGCGAACGGGAACCAGCGGACCGCUAGGUGAACUGUUCGAUCACGGACUGGACUCGUACUCGACACUGUUGAUUCCGGUGUACGUUUUCAGUUUGUUCGGAAGAUUCGAUCUACCUCCAAUAAGGAUGCACUUUGUGAUGCUCAAUGCCUAUCUCAACUUCUAUCUUUCACACGUGGAAAAAUACAUCACGGGGGUUAUGUUCCUGCCAUGGGGCUACGAUUUUCUCAUGUGGGGUGUAUCGUUAACAUUGGGUGCAACCGGCAUUUUUGGACCGGAGAUCUGGCAAAACACCAUUUUUGGAAUUAAACCAUGUAUAAUCUUUGAGAUUACGUUAUACGUAUCGCCUAUGAUUACCAGCCAUCCCAUUAUUAUCCAUAAUAUAUACAAAUCAUAUCGUGAUAAAACGGGCAAUAUGCGUCCAUUUAAAGAAGCAGUUCGACCUAUGAUUCCACUGAUUUCUCUAUUUGUCGUGAGCACAAUCUGGGGCUUGUAUUCGCGAAACAGUAUUGUUAAUCUGGAGCCGAGGAUGUUUAUCAUUCUCAGCGGAACAGUUUUCUCCAACAUCAAUUGCCGAGUGAUCGUAGCCCAGAUGACCGACACGAGAGCGGAUCUGUGGAACGGACUGCUCAAUCUGCUGACGGCAGCUACUGCCGUUUGCAUCUUUCCCUACACGGCCGUGGGACUGCCCGAACUCUGGAUCGAGUACGAACGGAACAUCCUGUACGCACUGGUGCUGGUCGUCACGAUCGCCCACCUGCACUACGGCCAGGGAGUGGUACGGGAAAUGUGUUCCCAUUUCCGGAUCCGGUGUUUCAAAAUACCAGCAUACGGUAAAUCAUCAGCAUUACUAGGCCACUAAAACUCGAAUCUCAAAUCCUACAUUGACGCGUUCGUCCGAACGUCACGAUGGUAUACCUACCGCGUUACGCCCACCACCGUCACGUCCGUCGUCACAAGGUAAAUGUAUGUAUAGACCAACUGCAUGCAUGCGAACGAAAAGCGGAUCUCAAAUAUCACCAUCACUAAAAGCAAAUUUGAGAGCGUACUUUUCGAUUGAACAUAAACCUACUACUACAACUACUACCAUCAUCAUCGCCCACCACAACCGAAAAAAAAGCUAAAAAUUAUAACAACACCUGCUACUGCUGCUGCUGUAGCUACUACCAACGGAGGACCUACUAACGACGAAAUGGUUGAGAUUGCACUGUAGAAACGC
This is an RNA transcript of Ochlerotatus camptorhynchus, 2141 nucleotides long. It is a transcript of the gene named ethanolaminephosphotransferase 1, with no coding region annotated. The record is from RefSeq and is a predicted model, not a curated record. The transcript has 9 exons. NCBI's taxonomy places the organism in Eukaryota, Metazoa, Arthropoda, Insecta, Diptera, Culicidae.